This 253-nucleotide ribosomal RNA is filed under the name uncultured bacterium. RNAcentral's name for it is "partial 16S ribosomal RNA". It matches the Rfam family "Bacterial small subunit ribosomal RNA", at positions 524 to 776 of the family's 1533-position model. The record is from RNAcentral.
CACGUAGGGGGCGAGCGUUGUCCGGAUUCAUUGGGCGUAAAGGGCGCGCAGGCGGCCCGGAAAGUCGGAUGUGAAAACUCGAGGCUCAACCUCGAGCGUGCACCCGAUACUGCCGGGCUUGAGGCAGGUAGGGGAGAUCGGAAUUCCUGGUGUAGCGGUGAAAUGCGCAGAUAUCAGGAGGAACACCGGUGGCGAAGGCGGUUCUCUGGGCCUUACCUGACGCUGAGGAGCGAAAGCGUGGGGAGCGAACAGG